This 114-nucleotide non-coding RNA is filed under the name Paraliobacillus sp. PM-2. RNAcentral describes it as "SAM riboswitch aptamer (S box leader)". It matches the Rfam family "SAM riboswitch aptamer (S box leader)". Rfam says of the family: The SAM riboswitch is found upstream of a number of genes which code for proteins involved in methionine or cysteine biosynthesis in Gram-positive bacteria. The SAM riboswitch acts at the level of transcription termination control. The predicted structure consists of a complex stem-loop region followed by a single stem loop terminator region. The record is from Rfam by way of RNAcentral. Lineage: Bacteria; Bacillati; Bacillota; Bacilli; Caryophanales; Bacillaceae. RNAcentral also lists the same sequence under 1 other name.
UUCUUAUCCAGAGAGACGGAGGGAUUGGCCCUAAGAUGUCUCAGCAACCAGCCUAACGAUUAGGCACGGUGCUAAUUCCAAUAGACGCAUAAUAAGGUGUCUAGAAGAUAAGAA